Molecule: non-coding RNA, 467 nt
Organism: Schizosaccharomyces pombe (fission yeast)
Lineage: Eukaryota; Fungi; Ascomycota; Schizosaccharomycetes; Schizosaccharomycetales; Schizosaccharomycetaceae
Source: the annotation of a GenBank genome assembly
GGUUCAUUUAUUCAUUUAUUUUCUAAGCAAUUAACAUUUACACAUCCAUCUAACAUCUUCUAAACUAAGAUUCACUCUUUAAAAUUCACUUUCUAACACUCAUUUCCAACACUCAUUCUAACUCCUUUCUCCUUUUGUUUACCUCUUUAUCCAUCUCCCUGUCUGUUCCUGUCUGCUCUCCUCUCUCUCCUCUCUCCUCUCUCCUCUCUUCUCUCUUCUCUCUACUAUCCUCUCCUCGCUAAUCCUAUACCUUGACUAACCUUUACACUUGCGUCCUCUUCACUGUCCUCCCUUUACAGUGCGUCGCUGCGGUGCAGUAAACGGAACUUCGUCCAGCCUGCUCGGAAGGGUUGGUUCGGAACAUCUGGAACGAUGGUAGAGGCAGGUGAGUGUUGACUGACGGAUGGCCUGGCUAGUAACAAGGUGGUAGGUAAAAACGAGUAGCAGUGUAAAAAUAGGAGACACAA